ACAUGGCUGCAAGGAUAUUAGACCUCACCCUGGAGAUCAUCUCCUUGAUAACCGGAGAGGAUUACACAGUAGUGAAGAAGUCGUCUGGUGAGUGUGUGACACCCCGUGUGUCAGGAGGAUGUAGCAGGACCCAGAGACCCAUCAUCGAGCCUCUACCUCAUUCCCUGAUACAUGAGCAGAAGAUCCUAGAACUUACCACCAGUAUCACUGAGCUACUGAGCGGAGAGGUUCCUAUAAGGUGUCAGGAUGUCGCUGUCUAUUUCUCCAUGGAGGAGUGGG
Long non-coding RNA from Bufo bufo (common toad), 279 nucleotides. RefSeq lists it as uncharacterized. Lineage: Eukaryota; Metazoa; Chordata; Amphibia; Anura; Bufonidae. The record is from RefSeq and is a predicted model, not a curated record. The transcript is spliced from 3 exons.